AUUUGUUGAGGACAAAUAAAGUGGAUAUGCGCAUCCACGCCACCAGGUGUCAUAAUCAAACCCUCCCCCGCUAUCACCUCAGUGCCGGGUCCAAUGAUGAUUGUGACGUUAUCCUGAAUAUCGGGAUUACCAGCCUUACCAAUAGCUGCGAUUCUCCCAUGCUUUAGGCCAACAUCCGCUUUAACAAUACCCCAAUAAUCUAAAAUCAGAGCAUUUGUGAUUACUGAGUCGACAGAAUCACUACAACUGCAUUGGCUUUGCCCCAUCCCAUCUCG
Molecule: small RNA, 275 nt
Filed under: marine eukaryotic metagenome
Description: 5' ureB small RNA
Rfam family: 5' ureB small RNA
Source: RNAcentral